UACGUAGGGUGCAAGCGUUAAUCGGAAUUACUGGGCGUAAAGCGUGCGCAGGCGGCUUUGCAAGACAGAUGUGAAAUCCCCGGGCUUAACCUGGGAACUGCAUUUGUGACUGCAAGGCUGGAGUGCGGCAGAGGGGGAUGGAAUUCCGCGUGUAGCAGUGAAAUGCGUAGAUAUGCGGAGGAACACCGAUGGCGAAGGCAAUCCCCCUGGGCCUGCACUGACGCUCAUGCACGAAAGCGUGGGGAGCAAACAGG
This 254-nucleotide ribosomal RNA is filed under the name uncultured bacterium. RNAcentral's name for it is "partial 16S ribosomal RNA". It matches the Rfam family "Bacterial small subunit ribosomal RNA", at positions 524 to 776 of the family's 1533-position model. The record is from RNAcentral.